CCUACGGGAGGCAGCAGUGGGGAAUAUUGGUCAAUGGACGCAAGUCUGACCCAGCAACGCCGCGUGAAGGAAGAAGGCUUUCGGGUUUUAAACUUCUUUUUAGGGGGAAGUGCAGAAGACGUUACCCCUUGAAUAAGCCACGUCUAACUACGUGCCAGCAGCCGCGGUAAUACGUAGGUGGCAAGCGUUGUCCGGAUUUACUGGGUGUAAAGGGCGUGCAGCCGGGAAGACAAGUCAGUUGUGAAAUCCCGCGGCUCAACCGCGGAACUGCAUUUGAAACUGUUUUUCUUGAGUAUCGGAGGGGUAGUCGGAAUUCCUGGUGUAGCGGUGAAAUGCGUAGAUAUUAGGAAGAACACCAGUGGCGAAGGCGGAUUACUGGACGACAACUGACGGUGAGGCGCGAAAGCGUGGGGAGCAAACAGGAUUAGAUACCCCAGUAGUC
This 442-nucleotide ribosomal RNA is filed under the name uncultured bacterium. Its description in RNAcentral is "partial 16S ribosomal RNA". It matches the Rfam family "Bacterial small subunit ribosomal RNA", at positions 338 to 795 of the family's 1533-position model. The record is from RNAcentral.